Oncorhynchus tshawytscha (Chinook salmon) is the source of this 399-nucleotide long non-coding RNA. The record is from Ensembl. NCBI's taxonomy places the organism in Eukaryota, Metazoa, Chordata, Actinopteri, Salmoniformes, Salmonidae.
GUAGAUGUGAUCAUGUAGGCAGGGAUACUGGAGUAUUUUAGGUAGAUGUGACCAUGUAGGCAGGGAUACUGGAGUAUUUUAGGUAGAUGUGACCAUGGAGGCAGGGAUACUAGAGUAUUUUAGGUAGAGAUGUGACCAUGCAGGCAGGGAUACUGGAGUAUUUUAGGUAGAGAUGUGUACAUGCAGGCAGGGAUACUGGAGUAUUUUAGGUAGAGAUGUGUACAUGCAGGCAGGGAUACUGGAGUAUUUUAGGUAGAGAUGUGUACAUGCAGGCAGGUAUUAGGAGAAAGCGAUGCGUAACAGGACAAAUAUUAAUAAUACGUGUGGGAACUUUGAAGAAUCUUUAAUAUUAAAUUAAAUAUAAAACACUUUGUUGGUUAUUACCUGAUUCAAUAUCUG